GACGAACGCUGGCGGUAUGCUUAACACAUGCAAGUCGAACGAGAAGUUUUUUAUUGAACCUUCGGGGGAUAUAAGAGACAGACAGUGGCGAACGGGUGAGUAACGCGUGGGCAACCUACCUAUCGGAGCGGGAUAGCCUCGAGAAAUCGGGAGUAAAACCGCAUAACACGGAUAUAUCGCAUGAUGAAUCCGUCAAAACUCCGGUGCCGAUAGAUGGGCCCGCGUCUGAUUAGCUAGUUGGUAAGGUAAGGGCUUACCAAGGCAACGAUCAGUAGCCGGUCUGAGAGGGCGAACGGCCACACUGGAACUGAGACACGGUCCAGACUCUACGGGAGGCAGCAGUGGGGAAUAUUGGGCAAUGGGGGCAACCCUGACGGAGCAAUACCGCGUGAGUGAAGAAGGUUUUCGGAUGGUA
RNAcentral lists this ribosomal RNA (415 nucleotides) under Pseudoramibacter alactolyticus. RNAcentral describes it as "bacterial SSU rRNA". It matches the Rfam family "Bacterial small subunit ribosomal RNA", at positions 28 to 427 of the family's 1533-position model. Lineage: Bacteria; Bacillati; Bacillota; Clostridia; Eubacteriales; Eubacteriaceae. The record is from RNAcentral.